RNAcentral lists this ribosomal RNA (196 nucleotides) under uncultured bacterium. Its description in RNAcentral is "partial 16S ribosomal RNA". It matches the Rfam family "Bacterial small subunit ribosomal RNA", at positions 1303 to 1500 of the family's 1533-position model. The record is from RNAcentral.
GGCUGCAGCUCGCCUGCAUGAAGUCGGAAUUGCUAGUAAUCGCGGAUCAGCAUGCCGCGGUGAAUACGUUCCCGGGCCUUGUACACACCGCCCGUCACACCAUGGGAGUCGGUAACACCCGAAGCCGAUAGUCUAACGAAAGAGGACGUCGUCGAAGGUGGGAUUGAUGACUGGGGUGAAGUCGUAACAAGGUAUC